CUAUCAAAAAAUAAAACUAUCAAAGACUCAAAUUCGGAAACGAUUGGUUUUUCCUUCAUACUACGGUGUUUUGACUGUGACCCAGUCGAGCUCCACAUCCCUCGCCGCUUCCUCAACUUAUCUCAACUGCCAGCGCGCCGGAGGAUGAGCAGAAGACGGAGUCGUUGCGGGCCGGCGAGCAGGUACUUAUCUCAACUUCCAGCGCGCCGCCACCACCUGCCGCUCCGCUGCGUGCCGCCACCACCGCCUCGCGCGCCGCCCUGGUCGCCGCCGCCGGCCUUGCGUCGCCUCAACGCCCGACCCCCGAGUCUCGCAGGCCCGCCACACACCUACUCUCUUCCAACAAUUCCGUGCAUCCCAGCUCGAUUACUUCAGGGAGGAGGAGGAUGACGACGAGGCAGAGCUGCUGGACACGGUCACACGACCGCCUGUCCCGGGAAGAUCUGCAGCAACGGUGGCCUCUGGUGCACGCGGAUGUCUGUGGAGGCGGAAAUUUAAUUCGACCUCACCUCGGGCUGUCGGCCUCCCCAAGUUCCUGCUGCCGGCGCCCUCCCGAAGCUCCUGCCGGCCUCCUCCCUGAGCCCCAAGCACGAACAAGUUGACCAAAUUAACUAGGAAACCCUUGACGGCAAGUUACUUCGGGACUGAUAGAAUCACCACAAAUUGAGAUGAGGCAUUCAAGCGGGCUGGACACACUGACACUCGAGCAGUAGGAUCCCUUGAACUGAAGAAAUGAAUAGGAAGAUACAUGCAAUUUAAGGUAGGCGCACACUAACGUCUCAGUAUCAGCACCAUAAUUUGUGUGUGUGUGUAUGAAUUUUUUAGUUUGUCUCAUGAUUGAUGCAUUCACCUUAGUACAGUAUAUCUUCUGUUUCAUGUGUUUUCUGUGUAAAAGUUGGGUCCCGAUGACCAAUAAGCAAAGAACAACCUUCUCCAACUGACAGUGUUAUUCUCCUAAACAAUUUGCCAUUUUGGUAUUUGCAUGGGGAAUAAAGAAGAACAUUCAUCAUUAGUACUUGAAGAGACUUGCCUGGUUGGGGCAGAACAGGAUCUGCUAUAGUGCAUGUUACUUGACUGCUCACUGUACGACUUCAAUAAAAUCAAGGUCUUUUCCUGAUGCAAGAAAAUGUUUUCUUGCUGCAAUGGUAAGCUAUUCUGAAUCCAUCUUAUAAUGUGGCUGCUCAUGUUUGGUGCAGACGUAGCGCAUGGCAGGGAGAUAAAGUGUUGAGAAAAAGGACGACGAUGUAAAGGGCAGAUGAUAGGGGAUUACUCAAUAAGUAUGCGGAGCUGCUAUAAAGUUUCCUCCUUUCUGUAUAGUUAUUUCACUAUCCACCUAAAUGUCAUCCCAUGUAUAUGUAGGAAACUAAUUUUGUGUUGCUAAAUUUUCUGUAUAUAUUUAAUAUUAUUCAGUGUUAAACUAAUAAUGAUCGAAACAAUGCUAGACUUACAUGUUGAUUCAUCAUUUGUAGACUUUUGGUUACAACUGAUAGAUAUGAGCAGUUUAGCACUAUUCUUGCUUAUAUAUCAAAAAAUAUUAUGAUCAGCAGGCUAAAUCUACCACAUGGGUCGUUAGCUCUGUUACCGUAACAUUGCACCAUCCUAACACGCGAGGAAAAUAAUUUCACAAGAUUCUCAUAUUAAGUAUCUAUUCAAAGAGGUAUGUGACAAUGUGCGGGAAGGAGAAAUUCACUCGGUAACAACACCGAUGCUACGGCUUGCAUGCUGAGAGUUGAGACCUGAUAGUGAGCAUGAUUGUGGGGAUGGUGCGUAUGAGGAUUUUUUUUCCUUCUCCCAUUGGGACACACAGGUAUAUUUGGGUUUAUAAUAUGGGUUGUUGCCCCAGUUGCUUUUGCUUGGCGAUAAUGGCAAUGCAGUUAUCACCAUGUUUGCACCGUUCUUCACAUGCACAUCCCUAGGCUCCUUAUGUUACUGUUCACCAUCACUGUUGAUUAUUUCUCCUUCUAUUCUGUUAUCCAAUAGGUAUUCUCUUACUACAUAUAAAUUUGGAGGACAAAGCAUUUAUUAUGUUGAUAUAUUAAACCCCAAAUUGCUGACAUUUAUUCUGUUGAUAUAUUAAACCCCAAAUUGCUGACAUGUAACGUCUUCUAUCUGAAUUUGUUUCAUAAAAUUAAUCAUUGGUUUAGUUUGAUAGAUUAAACCCAAAUUAGUUUAUGGACUGAACUAGAAAUAACACAAUCACAUAUUAGUUUUCUUUUUAAAUUUCAUAGUAGAGAUUUA
Molecule: long non-coding RNA, 2238 nt
Organism: Triticum aestivum (bread wheat)
Lineage: Eukaryota; Viridiplantae; Streptophyta; Magnoliopsida; Poales; Poaceae
Exons: 3
Source: RefSeq, a predicted model, not a curated record